Molecule: non-coding RNA, 1919 nt
Organism: Misgurnus anguillicaudatus (oriental weatherfish)
Lineage: Eukaryota; Metazoa; Chordata; Actinopteri; Cypriniformes; Cobitidae
Source: RefSeq, a predicted model, not a curated record
CGCAACGUCGUGUCCCUGGCCAAAAAUAGUUGCGGUAUGACGGCACAAAUCGGUGAAAAUAUGUAACACAGAACAUUUCAUAAAAAUGCAUUCAGAUACAUUUGUACAUGUCUAUAGUUCUAUGGGGUUGCAUGUAUAAUUGUUACUUUGACUUUUACUACGCGUGCUUCAAUAUUUAUACCCUGUUGUGAAUCGGUUGUAAGAGGACGUCACUAGGUGACGUCUUUUACACGUGCAUUUAUAGUCCAUCAUGACCCUCUAUAAAAAAUCAUAAACCUUCUAUAAAGUCAUUGUGAAAUAUGCAAAUGCUGUGCUUACACCUUGGUUAAUACUGCAAUAAUUAAUUUAAGUGCAAAAAGUAGGUUUUUAAGAGGUUGUGAAUAGACGUCCACUGACGUCUUUUACACGUCUAGACUAGACUAGUAGGAAAAAAACAGGAUAAUCUUUAUGAAAUACACGAUUUGUAUACAAAGUAAAUAUAUUAACUUUAUCUUGUUUAAAUAAAUUAUAAUCACAAAGUGCCCAGUGUGAUUGCAAAGCCACACUGCAUUUUAGUCAUUAUUCCAACCGGUUUUAUUAUUGAAUGUAUGCAUAUAAAUGUAAAACAGAUACAUAUCCGGUCACCAUUUAGGUCUGAGUUGGAUGUAAUUUCAAAAACUGUGCUAUUAAUUUAAGAAAUAUAGUGAUAAAUCUGGGGAUAUUACAAAAUCCCGCGAUAGGACAGAUUAUCUCGCGAGAUAGUGGUGACGUCACGCGUUCUUCCGGAAGUUCACAUUCAAACAGGAGGAGCGGUUACGAGGGAGUUUUGUCUACAUAUCAUUCAAAAUCUACUGUUGGGAAAAGCAGAACCUCAUCCAAAUAAAAAUAAACAAGCUGUUAAAGGCACUGUGUCCUACACAGACCCUCCAAAAUAUAACCACCCAAAACCCAAGUCAGUUGAAGGUCAACACAAACCAAAUAAAGAUGUGCAUUCUACAAACAAUAACAAAAGAUCAAGUUUUGUGUCCACCACACUUAGAUGAGGCGUGCCCGACCCCUGACUUUGUCUACCCUACAUUAAGUUGCACACUUCAUGACAGUAAACAUCGGUAUCACAAUGGUGUGAUUGAUCUAUACCCUAGAAUAAGCUGUGACACUAUGAGACGUGAGGUAACACAACGAAAAAAUUACCGGAUGGAGACUACCUGAUUCUUCACCUAUGGCCUCAGCUUCAAAUGCAACAUGUCCAGCAACUGUCUGAGUUGGUGGAUAUUCUGUCAGAGACUGCGUGAACAACGUUAUGAACAGAAUGAUGUCAAAUUGUCUUAUGGCAAAGUUCAAUAUGAGGGGUGGUGGACAUCUGGAAAAGAAGUCUUUUAAAGGCACACCUUUGUAUUAUGUUAUUCAAGAUGCUGUGAAGAGGUGGAGCCCAAAUGCCACAGACUCGAAAAUAGAUGCAGCUAUGGCAGACCACCUCAAGCACGCUCCAGGAAGAGCUGGGGGUGAUGGAUACAAAAAAGCCAAACAGCUGUGAUGUGUUAAAGAGAGAGUUCACCAAAAAAGGAAAAUUGUUAUAAUUUUCUUAUCCACAUGUUUCAAACCUGUAUACCUUUAUAUUUUCUGCUGAACACAAAGAUUGAAGAAUGUUUGUAACUUCACAACCAAUUAACUGUCAAUAAUUUUUUUACAAUUGUAGUAAUGGGUUGUGAGAUCUGCUUUGUUAAAAACAUUCUUUCACAUAUCUUUGUGUUCAGCAGAACAUAGAAGGGUAUACAGGUUUGAAACAUGAGAGGGAAUAAAUGACUAAAUAUUAAUUUUUGGGUGAACUAUCCCUUUAUAGAAAGUGUUUUGAAGUUGUUAUUAUAGUUAAAUGGUUAAAAAAAAAUAAAAAGUGCUAAAUCAGAACAUGCUUCUUUUUUUGUUAUGGCCACAAAUAAUGU